This 439-nucleotide ribosomal RNA is filed under the name uncultured Leisingera sp. RNAcentral's name for it is "bacterial SSU rRNA". It matches the Rfam family "Bacterial small subunit ribosomal RNA", at positions 97 to 570 of the family's 1533-position model. The record is from RNAcentral. Lineage: Bacteria; Pseudomonadati; Pseudomonadota; Alphaproteobacteria; Rhodobacterales; Roseobacteraceae.
GGCGGACGGGUUGAGUAACGCGUGGGAACGUGCCCUUCUCUAUGGAAUAGCCACUGGAAACGGUGAGUAAUACCAUAUACGCCCUUCGGGGGAAAGAUUUAUCGGAGAAGGAUCGGCCCGCGUUAGAUUAGGUAGUUGGUGGGGUAAUGGCCUACCAAGCCUACGAUCUAUAGCUGGUUUUAGAGGAUGAUCAGCCACACUGGGACUGAGACACGGCCCAGACUCCUACGGGAGGCAGCAGUGGGGAAUCUUAGACAAUGGGCGCAAGCCUGAUCUAGCCAUGCCGCGUGAGUGAUGAAGGCCUUAGGGUCGUAAAGCUCUUUCGCCAGAGAUGAUAAUGACAGUAUCUGGUAAAGAAACCCCGGCUAACUCCGUGCCAGCAGCCGCGGUAAUACGGAGGGGGUUAGCGUUGUUCGGAAUUACUGGGCGUAAAGCGCAC